Long non-coding RNA from Apteryx owenii (little spotted kiwi), 1741 nucleotides. NCBI's taxonomy places the organism in Eukaryota, Metazoa, Chordata, Aves, Apterygiformes, Apterygidae. The record is from Ensembl.
AGUCCCCUGCGCAGCCUCCACGGCGGAGCAGCGAGACAAGACGGGGGGCAUUUUACAGCACUCGCCUAGCCACUGACAUCAGAGCCGCCGGCCGCUGGGGCGCUGCCCGAGCUCUCCCCGGCCAGCCCGGGCCGUGCCUCGCGGGGAGCCCGGCUGCGGGGAGCCAGACCAUGGGGAGCAGCGAGCACCGCCUCGGGCAAGGACUGCGAAGCUGCGGGAGCCGGGUGGCCCACGCGGAGCUGCCUGCUGCAGGCUGGCACGGGCCCGAGCCGUGAGCCCGGCUGCCGCGAGGGACGGGGCCGAAGGACUGGCGGUGGCGAUAGCCGAAGACGCGGGUCUGCGCGUGCAAGGUGCCCGGGGCAUCCUCCCUUCCCUCCCGUCCCUGCGGCAGACGCAGAGCCGUGGGGAAGGGGUGGGCAGCUGAGCGGCACGGGCAGGACGGGAGCUCGUCCUCUCCGCCAGCCCCAUGUGGGUGGAGGAAGGAGGGGAGAGGACCGCAGGGAAGGAGAGGACGGGAGCGGAGCUGUGCCAAACCCCCGGAUCCCCCCCAGGGCAGACUGCCUCCGUGAGCGCACCGUGCUGGGAUGCAAUAGUCGGAGCCCAAGGGGCCCCAGGCUGUCCCUGCCCAGCUUGAGCCACUUCCCACCUAUCCUGCCCUGUCUCCCGUCUGUCCCCAAAGUCCUGGUGCUUUUCACUCCUACACUGCUGCUGCCAGGCCCUGGUGGGAGGAGGGACCCUUAGGGGCACUAAUGGCCUCUACUCUGGCAUGUGUGUUCUGAGAAAACACUUGGUUUCUGGAGCAAUGUGAGGAAGAGGGGCUAGCGCAUGCCUCCCUCCCAAAGCCCCCCGUCCCAGGGCUUCGCGUCUGUGCUGGGCCGCUGUGGCCAGGACGUGUGUGCUGUGAGCCCGUCUCACAGUUGCACUGGUGAAGAGUCUGAUCCAGCAUUUUUCUCCUGAGCACAGAGCGAGGGUCGGGAGUGCAGCGACCUGUCGCGUGUUGGGCACUGUGGGAAGGCAGAGAGCAGGCACAGGUCGUGGCAGGCAGUUUGCAGGAGCUACAGCCCUGGAAUACCAAAAUGGAGAACCAGCCUUGUGGGGAACAGGGAUCCGUAGCAUGAGGUGACCUGGGGGGAAUACAGGGACAGAGACUGCCCUGGAUACCUCUUCCCGGCCCUGCGUUAUUUCUCUGGGCGUGGGGCAGAACCAACUGCUUCCUGCUGCCUAGCAGCAAAUUAGCAGCAUGCAUUCGUUAGCUGGGAUUCUGUCCUCUCCGGCAAAUAUCCCCAGUGAGUGGCAGUUUGUAAUGGAGAGGGGAUAAGUUAUCAGGGCACAUUUUCUCCAGAACGUGUGGUUUUCUCCCCCUGACCUCCUUCUCUUUCCGUGAGGCAGUGGGAGCUCGGUAGAGACGCGGAGCAGAAAUCUGUCUCCAGGAGGCCUGCUCUUGCAGAGCCAUUAGCCUGCAGCCUUUGCCCCUGGUGCUGCUAGCAUAGAUUUCACUGUGCUCUAGUGAUGCUUUCACCCAUUCUCUGUCUCUGCUUCUUACAGCUCCUUUAGCGUCCCUAGCCUUGGAGCCUUGCAAAGCUGAGUCAAAGACUAGGGCACUGCCUGGACCAUCUCCUUGUGUGCACGGGUACUGGGGGGGGAAGCACCUGCAGUGGGGGAACACUCUGCUCAGGGUGUUUUGUACCUUAUGAAAAUGGAUGGUAGGGGCAGAUCCCCUUCCCUGCAAGGCAUUUUAUUC